RNAcentral lists this ribosomal RNA (482 nucleotides) under uncultured bacterium. Its description in RNAcentral is "bacterial SSU rRNA". It matches the Rfam family "Bacterial small subunit ribosomal RNA", at positions 30 to 507 of the family's 1533-position model. The record is from RNAcentral.
AUUGAACGCUGGCGGAAUGCUUUACACAUGCAAGUCGAACGGUAACAGGUCUUCGGAUGCUGACGAGUGGCGAACGGGUGAGUAAUAUAUCGGAACGUGCCCAGUCGUGGGGGAUAACGUAGCGAAAGUUACGCUAAUACCGCAUACGAUCUAAGGAUGAAAGCGGGGGAUCGCAAGACCUCGCGCGAUUGGAGCGGCCGAUAUCAGAUUAGGUAGUUGGUGGGGUAAAGGCUCACCAAGCCAACGAUCUGCAGCUGGUCUGAGAGGACGACCAGCCACACUGGAACUGAGACACGGUCCAGACUCCUACGGGAGGCAGCAGUGGGGAAUUUUGGACAAUGGACGCAAGUCUGAUCCAGCCAUUCCGCGUGCAGGAUGAAGGCCCUCGGGUUGUAAACUGCUUUUGUACGGAACGAAAAGGUUUCUCUUAAUACGAGGAGCUCAUGACGGUACCGUAAGAAUAAGCACCGGCUAACUACGUG